Molecule: long non-coding RNA, 1646 nt
Organism: Antechinus flavipes (yellow-footed antechinus)
Lineage: Eukaryota; Metazoa; Chordata; Mammalia; Dasyuromorphia; Dasyuridae
Exons: 2
Source: RefSeq, a predicted model, not a curated record
GGAAAGGUCAAGGCCCCCAAUAACAUUAAACCAAGUUCUACCAAAAGCCCAAAGUCCGUCUCAGAGGGGAUUGACUGUAUUCUGUAAUGGUUACUUGCUUAGAAUCUGGAGAGUUACCACACAACCAGAGGUGGGAUUUGAACUUAUUCUGUCCUGGUUCCUGAGACUUAUUUUUUGUCCAAUAACCUGCCAAAUUUUUCCUUUUUGUUUAAAAUAGAGAUAUGCUUGUAUUCAUUAACUUGGAUAAUAGCAAUGCUUUUAAAAAAAAAUUUGCUGUUUUAAAAGAAGAUGCCUCAAAUCCAACUAUCUAUUAUGUACAGCUAUACAUUAAAAUAACUUAAAUGAAAUUUAUAGCAUUAAUUUUUAUCUUUAAGUAGCUUUAGCAUGUCUUUGUUAAUUUUAGACCCCCUUCUACAGAGAAAACAGUUCAAGUCUAUUUUAUUUUAUUUUAUUAAGCUUUUUGUUUACAAGACAUAUGCAUGGGUGAUUUUUCAACAAUGACCCUUGCAAAACCUUCAAUUGCAACUUUUCCCCUUCCCCCCACCCCCUCCCCUAGAUGGCAGGCAAUCCAAUACAUGUUAAAUAUGUUAAAGUAUACGUUAAAUACAACAUAUGUAUAUAUAUUUAUACAGUUACCUUGCCACUCAAUAAAAACUGGAUUUAGAAAGAAGUUGAAAAUAACCUGAGAAUGAAAACAAAAAUGCAGGCAGACAAUAACAGAAAGAAUGGAAAUGCUAUGUUGUGGUCCACAUUUAUUUCCCAUAGUUCUUUCGCUGGGUGUAGCUGAUUUUCUUCAUUACUGAACAAUUGGAACUGAUUUGGAUCAUCUCAUUGUUGAAGAGGGCCACGUCCAUCAGAAUUGAUCAUCAUAUAAUAUUGUUGUUGAAGUGUAUAAUGAUCUCCUGGUUCUGCUCAUUUCACUCAGCAUCAGUUCAUGUAAGUCUCUCCAGGCCUCUCUGAGAUCAUCCUGCUGGUCAUUUCUUACAGAACAAUAAUAUUCGAUAACAAUAAUAUACCACAAUUUAUUCAGUUAUUCUCCAGUUGAUGGGCAUCCAUUCAACUUCCAGUUUCUAGCCAUACAAAAAAGGCUGUCACAAACAUUUUUGCACAUAUGGGUCCCUUUCCCUUCUUUAGUAUCUCUUUGGGAUAUAAGCCCAGUAGUAACACUGCUGGAUCGAAGGGUAUGCAGUUUGAUAACUUUUUGGACAUAGUUCCAUAUUGCUCUCCAGAAUGGAAUCCAAGUCUAUUUUAAACUUGAAUAAAAGUUAUUUUAUAAAACUCACUGGAUUGUGGUAUUACAAUUUUUUUUUUCCUACUUGGUCUCAUGAACAUUUUUUCUUUGGGGAUUAGAUUAAUUUACAAAAUCUAUUCCAACACAGGGUAUAAAUAAUAUGCAAAAACACAAUUGUCAUGACAAACCACCUUACUUCUGUUGAAAAGGAUACUAUGCUGCAAUAUUACAUUUUUGCAAAUAUGGGUCCCUUUCCAUUCUUUAAGAUCUCUUUGGGAUAUAAGCCCAAUAGUAACAUGGCUGGCUCAAAGGGUAUGCACACUUUAAUAACUUUUUGGACAUAGUUCCAAAUUGCUCUCCAGAAUGUAAUCCAAGUUUAUUUUAAACUUGAAUAAAAGUUAUUUUAUAAAACUCA